CAAUAGCGUAUAUUAAAGUUGUUGCAGUUAAAAAGCUCGUAGUUGGAUUUCUGAUCGAGACAUCAGGUCGGGUCCGAGAGGAUCAUGUACUUUGAUUUUGUUUUGAUCAUCCUUGGGGAGAGCAUUUCUGGCAUUCAGUUGUCGGGAUUGGGAUCCUCAUCGUUUACUGUGAAAAAAUUAGAGUGUUCAAAGCAGGCCUCGGCCUCUGAAUACAUUAGCAUGGAAUAAUAAGAUAGGACUUUGGUGGUCUAUUUUGUUGGAUUGCACGCCAAAGUAAUGAUUAAUAGGGAUAGUUGGGGGUAUUCGUAUUCAAUUGUCAGAGGUGAAAUUCUUGGAUUUAUGGAAGACGAACUACUGCGAAAGCAUUUACCAAGGAUGUUUUCAUUAA
Molecule: ribosomal RNA, 388 nt
Filed under: uncultured eukaryote
Lineage: Eukaryota
Description: partial 18S ribosomal RNA
Rfam family: Eukaryotic small subunit ribosomal RNA
Source: RNAcentral